This 1282-nucleotide long non-coding RNA is filed under the name Lathyrus oleraceus (garden pea). Its description in RNAcentral is "Pisum sativum (pea) long non-coding RNA (PSAT_LNC007638)". Lineage: Eukaryota; Viridiplantae; Streptophyta; Magnoliopsida; Fabales; Fabaceae. The record is from RNAcentral.
UCCAAAUAAUUACCUCAAAUUACUAUCAGAACCAGUUCACCACAACCUACCAAUAACCAAAGUUAAAACUAGUUAAUUGUUUUUCAAUUUCAAAUUCCAUUUAACAGACUAGCUAACGGAUGUGUAACCUCUAACCAACUUGAACCCUGUGAAUCUAACAGAGUUAAACUCUGUUAAGAGCUUCAAGCCUAUAAAGCCCAUUAGUCGUCGGAGAUUGAGUCUCUCGGUUCUUCUCAGACUCAGACCAAAAUCACCCAACCUUUUUUUGCAUUUCACUCGCCUUCGAUCUCAAGAGCUCACUGAAACAAAAACGGAAACGGAAAGCCGAGAAAGAAGAGCAAUUGAGAAGAAGAGAUAAGAGAAUGAAAUUCUCUCCAUAACAAAAGGAAUGGGAAGAAGAAUGAAAUAGGAGAAGAAUAUCCUAGAGCAUACCUGAGAGCCGCGUUUGUUGACGCCAUCGUUGCGUCCAUCGUCUUCUCCGACGAGUCUGUUGGCUACUUUUAUCCAUAUCGAAAUUCAAGGUUCAUUCUGAGGCGUACAUUACAUCAGUAAGCUUCGUGAUUUCACCAAUCACACGGAUGAUUCGGAACACGUGAGCAUCAAAAUCCUAAGUGCAAAAAAGCAACGAAGAAGAUUGAAGCGGAAGAAUAAUAGGAGAGAAGAGCAGCGAGUAUUCCGUACCAGAACAAUAUCCAAACACCGUUCGCCCUGUGCUUCAUCGUCGACGUCGAAGGUGCAUAUAAACUCUCCUAUUUUUGACUCGCAUUUGUUACCGUUAUAUAGGACUUGAUUAGAUGAGCGAUGAUACCAAACUUGUAGACUCUAUUACCUUUAUAUGAGGAUCGGAUUGUGAAUUUUUGUUUGAGACUCGUGAGAGAUUUCGAUUCGGUUCGUAUGUUUAGGGAGGAAUUAGGAGAUAUUGUCUGAGGAUUUGGAAUUGAGAGUUUGAGACGGUAGUGACGAGGUGAGCAUGAGGCGUUCAGGAGCUUCACCGUCGCCGGCGAUAAGCUCCGGCACGACGGAGUCGUUUAGGUGUGUGUCGCGUUUCUUUCGAAUGGGAGUCACUCACCGGAAGAUGAACUUGAGGGAUGUACAUCCCGUUGCUGCUGUAUUGGAUUGAUUAGACCUUAGGUCCGAUCCUUCAGCGUCUAUUACCACACUCCCUCUAAUGCAGUACACCCCUCUGCUUAGGCUUAGGAUUGGAUUAGACCCAAUCUCCAUUGUUUUUUUGGAUUCAUAGCCUUGAUUGAUAUUUGUUUUGAUAUUAGAAUUUUGAUUGGAU